RNAcentral lists this ribosomal RNA (492 nucleotides) under uncultured bacterium. RNAcentral describes it as "partial 16S ribosomal RNA". It matches the Rfam family "Bacterial small subunit ribosomal RNA", at positions 29 to 507 of the family's 1533-position model. The record is from RNAcentral.
AGUGAACGCUGGCGGUAUGCCUAACACAUGCAAGUCGAACGGCAGCACAGUAAGAGCUUGCUCUUACGGGUGGCGAGUGGCGGACGGGUGAGGAAUACAUCGGAAUCUACUUUUUCGUGGGGGAUAACGUAGGGAAACUUACGCUAAUACCGCAUACGACCUACGGGUGAAAGCAGUGGAUCUUCGGACCUUGCCCGAUUGAAUGAGCCGAUGUCGGAUUAGCUAGUUGGCGGGGUAAAGGCCCACCACGGCGACGAUCCGUAGCUGGUCUGAGAGGAUGAUCAGCCACACUGGAACUGAGACACGGUCCAGACUCCUACGGGAGGCAGCAGUGGGGAAUAUUGGACAAUGGGCGCAAGCCUGAUCCAGCAAUACCGCGUGGGUGAAGAAGGCCUUCGGGUGGUAAAGCCCUUUUGUUGGGAAAGAAAAGCAGCAGGUUAAAACCCCGAUGUUCUGACGGUACCCAAAGAAUAAGCAACGGCUAACUUCGUG